This 253-nucleotide ribosomal RNA is filed under the name uncultured bacterium. RNAcentral describes it as "partial 16S ribosomal RNA". It matches the Rfam family "Bacterial small subunit ribosomal RNA", at positions 524 to 776 of the family's 1533-position model. The record is from RNAcentral.
UACGUAGGGACCAAGCGUUGUUCGGAUUUACUGGGCGUAAAGGGCGCGUAGGCGGCAAUUCAAGUCAUCUGUGAAAUCUCCGGGCUUAACUCGGAACGGUCAGGUGAUACUGCUUUGCUAGAGUGCGGAAGGGGCAAUCGGAAUUCCAGGUGUAGCGGUGAAAUGCGUAGAUAUCUGGAGGAACACCGGUGGCGAAGGCGACAUCCUGGACCAACACUGACGCUGAGGAGCGAAAGCCAGGGGAGCAAACGGG